This 2010-nucleotide long non-coding RNA is filed under the name Oryctolagus cuniculus (rabbit). RNAcentral's name for it is "lncRNA (ENSOCUG00000034239.1)". Lineage: Eukaryota; Metazoa; Chordata; Mammalia; Lagomorpha; Leporidae. The record is from RNAcentral.
AUGGGAAGUGGAGCAGCCGGGACUAGAACCAGCGUCCAUAUGGGAUGCCAGCACUGCAGGUGCAGGCCUAACCCUGAAGCGUUAGUGUUUGAAAGUAGCUCAGGUUUAGGUUCACAGCCAGACGGGAGAGGGCGCAGACGUCCGUCCCGCCCCAUGCUCACCCUGGGCGCCCAGGAGCCCUGUUCACAUCACGGUCCCCGUGGCGCUGGGCGUCCCGUGGCGCCAGCCACCGGGUCACAGCUGCUUCCCGCUCCACCUCCUGUUGCUCCCACGCUCUCUGCUAAGCCGUGGCCGCCGCCGGAGCUGGGCCGUCUCCGGGUGUUGCCCACUUGGAAUCCACUGUGGGCAGCCGUGGCACGUUGGCCGCUGCCCUCCGUGUCUGUUCACGGGCGAGAGCUGGUCCUCGGGGGUGCCAAGUGGGUCUCCGUUCGCCCGCGGCGACAGUUUGGAACAAAGCCGUGUAGCUCUCUGCGUGUGCCCCCGGUUUGCAGCUCCUGUUGGGACGUGCCGAGGAGCAGCCCUGCUGGCCGGGCGGCCUGCGUGUGUGUGUUUAGUUUUGUCAGAAACUGCCCAGCUGCCUUCCGCUCUGUGUGCACCAUCUUGCCCUCCUGCCAGCAGCGGGAGUCCCUGGGGCCCCUGGCGCCGGCCGUGCCCUGCAGUGACCCCCGGUGGGCCUCGGGGGCAGCAGCUUCCCUUCCGGCCUUGGGUUACUGCCUGGGGAGGCUCGGUGUCACGGGUGCCCACCUGGCCUGGCGGGAGCCGCCUCUGACCUGGGGCGAUCUGGACAUCGCUCGUGCCGGGUCGCUUCCUGCACUUGACCUGGUUUCGUUUAUGCCUGAGCCGGGGAGGAUGGGCUCCGUCGCCCUCAGGGUGCAGAGGAAGUGCCCUGGGCGUGGCGUGUGGCUGGGCCUCCGCAGCUCCUGUGCGGGGUGUGUGCGCCUGCUUCGCCCAGCGUCCCCUCUGAGGAGCGCGGGCGCUCUGUCUGCCAAGGUGCUCUGGGUGAGGCCGUGGCCGCCGUGGCCCAGCACUCACGGGUCCCUUCCCGCCGACACCCCCGCGCUCAGCCGUCCGGGCCUGGCACCAUGUCCUCACGUUUGCCCCCGUGCGGGGCCCGGCCAGGCCCCAUCUGAACCUCGGUUUCUCCUCUGUGAGACGGCACCUGCCCAGGAGCUCGCGGGGACUGAAUGGAGGGCGGUCCCGGCGGGGCAGACCCAGAGCCGCCACCUGGACACCUUUGGGUGUCCUCCUCCCCCGGCCUCCUCCCAUCCAGACCGCCCACGUGUCCCCGUGACGGCCGCCGAGCAGAGCAGGCUGUGCAGGGGAGGUGCCCUCCCGGCUGCGCCCGGCGCUGGCCCUGUGCCUCGGCCCUCCUGCGCCUCCUGCCCCAGGGUGGAUCGGGAGCUGGUGGGGCUCCAGGAGCCGCCCGGCAGGCACCGUGCGCGCCCAGGCCGGCCAGCCCCUCUGCACAGCCUCCCUCAGCUGCAGGCCCUGCUGAUGCCACGGUCGCCAGGCAGCUGCCGUGUCCUCGCACCCCUUCCCGCCUGGGGUCCUCCACAGACUGCGCCCAGGCCGUCCUCGGCGAGCCUCCCGGUCUCAGCCCUCUGGCCCCGGCCCUUUUCCGCUGGACCAGGGGCUCUUGCAGGUCUGCUCGGUCUGUUCUGUCUCCUUGCCUGGGGGCCCCAGGACCAGCACGUCCUAGCCAGCCUGUGGCUGAGGGGGCGUCUGGCCCGCCUGGGCUCUCCAGUGGCCGUGGCGCUCGCUGGUUCUGCAGCCACACCUGCUGGGGUAGCGGAGCCCUCCAGCUGCCGCCCGAGGGGGCGGGGGCGGGGUCAGAGCUGGGGAAAUGCGGGCGCCCGUGGGCGGCCACGUGGCAGGUGCCCAGGGCCUGGGAAGUGGGUGCUGCAGUCAGUGUGGGGGUGGCGGUCAGCCAGAGGGGAGUCGGGAGGUUUCCCUUGCCCGGGGAGGGUCAGGGCUGUGCCUGGCCGGGCUUCCGUGCCCCUGCCUGGGUGA